This 454-nucleotide ribosomal RNA is filed under the name Klebsiella quasipneumoniae subsp. similipneumoniae. RNAcentral's name for it is "bacterial SSU rRNA". It matches the Rfam family "Bacterial small subunit ribosomal RNA", at positions 1 to 453 of the family's 1533-position model. Lineage: Bacteria; Pseudomonadati; Pseudomonadota; Gammaproteobacteria; Enterobacterales; Enterobacteriaceae. The record is from RNAcentral.
AAAUUGAAGAGUUUGAUCAUGGCUCAGAUUGAACGCUGGCGGCAGGCCUAACACAUGCAAGUCGAGCGGUAGCACAGAGAGCUUGCUCUCGGGUGACGAGCGGCGGACGGGUGAGUAAUGUCUGGGAAACUGCCUGAUGGAGGGGGAUAACUACUGGAAACGGUAGCUAAUACCGCAUAACGUCGCAAGACCAAAGUGGGGGACCUUCGGGCCUCAUGCCAUCAGAUGUGCCCAGAUGGGAUUAGCUAGUAGGUGGGGUAACGGCUCACCUAGGCGACGAUCCCUAGCUGGUCUGAGAGGAUGAUCAGCCACACUGGAACUGAGACACGGUCCAGACUCCUACGGGAGGCAGCAGUGGGGAAUAUUGCACAAUGGGCGCAAGCCUGAUGCAGCCAUGCCGCGUGUAUGAAGAAGGCCUUCGGGUUGUAAAGUACUUUCAGCGGGGAGGAAGGCG